RNAcentral lists this long non-coding RNA (1668 nucleotides) under Anolis carolinensis (green anole). RNAcentral's name for it is "lncRNA (ENSACAG00000045119.1)". The record is from RNAcentral. Lineage: Eukaryota; Metazoa; Chordata; Lepidosauria; Squamata; Anolidae.
UCCAACGGAGUUGAUGGCAGAGGUUCUUCACUUCAAUGCUGGUGGUCUUUGCUUCUUCCAGAACACUGACAUUUGUCUGCCUGUCUUCCCAAGAGAUUUGCAGGAUUUUUCGGAGGCAAUGCUGAUGGAAUUGUUACAGGACUUGAGUGCAAUGCCUGUAGACAUCACACUCAUGUCCUGUAAUGAUUCCAUCAGCAUUGCAAGCGCAUAAAAGUGUUGAGAGGACAAUAGUUUUAUAGACAAACAUCUUGGUCUCCCGAUGGAUGUCCCAAUCCUCAAACACUCUCUGCUUCAUUCGAGAGAAUGCUGCACUCGCAGAGCUCACACAGUGUUGCAUAUCAGGGUCAAUGUUGACUUUUGUGAACACAUAUAUGGCAAACAUUCAAUGCCAACAGACAAACAACAUACAUUAGACAGACUCAGAGGCAUUUUUAACAUUUUUCCAGCUUCCCGAUUCCGGCCACAGGGGGAGCUGUUGCUUCACUGUCCACUAGUGGCUGUACUUCCUCGUUCCUUUCCUCGUGUUUUGCUGGCAGUUUUUAUGAUGUUGUAAAUUAGUUAAAUUAGCCCGCCGCAUUAAGCGUACGUAAAUUUCCCUAUUUGACAGAUGCAACUGUCUUUCGGGGCUGCAUAGGUCAACAGCAAACUGGGCUAUUUAAUGGUCGGGGGCUUAACCCGACCCGGGCUUCGAACUCAUGACUUCUCGGUCAGUAGUGAUUUAUUGCAGCUGGUUACUAGCCAGCUGCGCCACAGCCCGGCUGUUUCUUUGUUUCUUUGUUAAUUGUUAAUUAAUUAAUUGAGCUUGCAUUGCAUAGUGGUUUGAGAACUGGACUGGAUUUUGGAGACCAGAGUCCAAUUCUCACUCAACUAUAGUGGGUGACCUUGGACAAGUUACACUCUCUCAGCCUCAGAGGAAGGCAAUGGAAAGCCUCUUAUGAGUAAAUCUUACCUAGAACUUCCUAUGAUAGGUUUUCCUUAGCGUUGCCUUAAGUUGAAAAUGACAGCAACAACAACAACAGAAACUGAUGAUGAUGAUGAUGAUAAUGAUUGGAGAACUAGAAUGUUAAAUCAGAUAAGACUUUGAUAAGCUCCAGCCACAAAAUCCACAAAUGUUACCUUUUAGGACUCUAAGUCCCAUCAUCCCCCACUGGCCAUGAUAACAAGGCUUCUGAUAACUGUAGACCCCAAAAAAGUAACUUUAUAAGCAGUUCUUCUUCUUCCCUGUUAACUUUCAGAAGUUGGAAAAGGAGAAAGAAAUCCCCUUGUCUAUAUUUUAAACAUUUUUAAAAGCAAUGCUGCAAAACGGUUUGGCGCACAAAUUGCCACUUACUCUAUUUAUCCUUCCCGAGUUUGUAAUAAAUGGGGAUAUUAUGCCUUUCACGGAUCCUUAGGCUGAAUCUUUUCAAGCCAGUGUAUUGAGCGGAGAAUAAGCAUAAUAAAAAAAAAGUUCUGCGAAGGAUAUAUUGGAAAAUAAUUUUAAACGUAGCCAAUAAUAACUGAAUAGAACAAACAAAAAUCCAAAUGGCUGGAUGUAACCUACCUUCUGGCACUUUAGCUAUUCGUCCGUUUAAAAAUGAGCAUUGCCAAAGGGAAUAAAAGGGCUGCUUUUUAAAAUCAUUACCCCUGAAAAAGUGAUGGAUGAGAGCUACAAGCAGAAGACAUUCACCU